GUGUCAGCAGCCGCGGUAAUACGAAGGGGGCUAGCGUUGCUCGGAAUGACUGGGCGUAAAGGGCGCGUAGGCGGACGGCACAGUCAGGCGUGAAAUUCCUGGGCUCAACCUGGGGACUGCGUCUGAGACGUGUUGUCUUGAGUAUGGAAGAGGGUUGUGGAAUUUCCAGUGUAGAGGUGAAAUUCGUAGAUAUUGGAAAGAACACCGGUGGCGAAGGCGGCAACCUGGUCCAUUACUGACGCUGAGGCGCGAAAGCGUGGGGAGCAAACAGGAUUAGAUACCCUGGUAGUCCACGCUGUAAACGAUGUGUGCUGGAUGUUGGGGUGCUUAGCACUUCAGUGUCGUAGCUAACGCGGUAAGCACACCGCCUGGGGAGUACGGCCGCAAGGUUGAA
This 394-nucleotide ribosomal RNA is filed under the name uncultured bacterium. RNAcentral's name for it is "bacterial SSU rRNA". It matches the Rfam family "Bacterial small subunit ribosomal RNA", at positions 505 to 898 of the family's 1533-position model. The record is from RNAcentral.